AGGGUCACAACCUAUGCCUAACCAACGGGGAUGCAUAUGUAUUGAAUAUUCCCUGUGAGAGCCCCGAGCACACAAUGCCCUUUCAGCCAGAGUGCAGGAAAGCGGCGGUUUAACCGAUUGCUUGGUUAACCACACAAAGAGGCCGAAUCGACACUGAUAAAGAAAUGAGUAAAAAUAAAUGCGACCAACUACUCAUACUAGUGCGAACAAAAGCGAGACUCCACCUCGUCCCGUCCCGUACCGUCCCGGACGAAAUGUUGCCAAAUGAAACCGGUUCGAAAUGGGAAAAUUAUGCGCUGCCGUCGAUGUGGACCCGCACCAUGCAUAGCCACCGGUUUUGGAGCGUCAAUGGUCUCAACGGGACAGUAUAAAUAUUUAUGAUUUCUUUUCUAACGCUACCGCCAAGCCCAACCAGCCGAUCGGAUCGGAUCAGUCCGCGCCGCGAACAAGUUAUUUUCGCCGAUAGCACUGUAUUGUUGACUUGACUUGAUCUCCCAGAUGGCAGCUUCGUGCGUAAUUCGCUGACCUUGACUUCCAUUCGAGAGGAAAAGUGAUACCUCCGGUAGGGCCAUUCUGGCUGAAAACCAGUCCGCCAGACCAGAGAAGGUAUGGGAGGUAGCAGCGGCAAGCGGCGUAGAUGCUCAAACCUUUCUCGAGAGCUUUGGGCUGUAACUGACACAAUUAAAAACAAAUUUCUUGGUUUUACUAGUGCUGCUAUUGAAUCUAAUUCUGUUCAAACAUAAAUAUUUUAACAAUUGCGGAACACGUCAGCGAUGUUUGUCAACUAAAAAAUAUCCAGCUUUUUCUACACUUGUCACAAUAUGUACUUGGAAAUUCCGAAUGCCUGAUGACCAAAAUAAAGGGUUAGACGCAGUCCAACAGCCUUACAGGCACAGUCGUACGCUGGGCUCAUGAGUGGUGUUGGUGGUGCUGUUGGUUGUAUUGGUAACCAGAAGUCUAGACUCGACCCCGUCUGGAUGGCCUUGCAGCUGGAUCGGCCUCUUACCUUUUACUUGCACCCAGCUUCGUCCGCGGAAGGGGGCUGCUGUCUACUUGGAUCGGCGUUCGGUUGUCGGUUGAGAAGUUUCCACUUGUACAAUGCUGAAUUAAUUAAGCACGGAACUGCUUAGACUUUGGCAACAACUGCAA
Long non-coding RNA from Drosophila pseudoobscura, 1149 nucleotides. RefSeq lists it as uncharacterized. The transcript has 2 exons. The record is from RefSeq and is a predicted model, not a curated record. NCBI's taxonomy places the organism in Eukaryota, Metazoa, Arthropoda, Insecta, Diptera, Drosophilidae.